Molecule: long non-coding RNA, 1842 nt
Filed under: Heterocephalus glaber (naked mole-rat)
Lineage: Eukaryota; Metazoa; Chordata; Mammalia; Rodentia; Bathyergidae
Description: lncRNA (ENSHGLG00100034163.1)
Source: RNAcentral
GUGCUCACAAGUUUAUAUUUUUAGGUUUGAUAAAAGAUUCUUGUGUAUUUUCUAAAUACACAGACAAAACAGUUUUGGAAGUUUACAUACAUGUCUUAGGACACUUAUAUUAGGUAGGUAAAUUACAUUUUAAAAAAUUGGUCUUCGUAAAAGAUCCUCCCAGAGAGCUUUUACAAACAGCAGGCAGAAAAAAAAAAAGUGUUCUUUUAUGCUUACAGUGUUUAAAAUGUUGAUUCUCCCAUUUCAUAAUGGCCUCAACCAUUUCUCUCCUUAACUCAAAAUUUUGUUCUCAACAGAUGUCAUAAAAUUCGGGGUUAGAAAACAUCUUUUAAAGUGUGCUUAUCCCUAAUGCAUUCUGAACUACUGAGAAGUGUUUAACUUCAGUUGAAAGCAGGGAUACAGCAGGAAAAAAACCACUUUCCAUUUUUAAAUCCUAAUGUGAUUAUAAGAAAAAUGCCUGUUUGUUAUUUCUAAGAGUGUAUAUUAUGUACCAUGUAAGUUUAAGGAUCCGGGUGACUGAACGGCACAAAAACUGGGGUUCAUAUCUAGUCUUCAGUUUAAAAAAAUCAUCUUUUUAAAAAUGAAAAUGCCACAACCCACUAACAGCAUAUGCUACACUGGGGUUGUGUCUUAUUUAAGACCAAAUGACAAAACAAUUGCUUUAUCAAAAAGAAAUAGUAGUAAGGAUGUUUAUCUGGGGGAAGGACACACAAAAUUUCUAACAUAGCUAUUUUAUAGAGUCAAUAUAAAUCUCCAUAGACAGACUUCUUUAAAGAGUUGCAAUUCUACAAAAAAAGUUGUUUAAUGAGGCAGCACGACAGCCUCCUAGAAAUCAUGAGCUUCAGAAUCAGACCUGACCAAAUCUCAGCUCUAUUACAGCUGCAUGAAAUUUGGCAAGAUUCUGAAUCUGAGCCUUUCCUUGUCUAUAAAAUGGAGAAAAUAGCACCUACCUCAGAAGGGUGAAAUAAUGCAUACAGCAUAAUGGCAAGUGUGGGCACUCAAAAAGCAUUGGUAGCUUCUGGAAUCAUUACUCAGAAAAAUGAAUCUAAAACCUUUCAUGCUCUGUUCAGAAAAUCAUAAAAAAUGCUUUUGAAGUUUUAAAUUUCAACAUUAAAAAUAACCCUGGUUUUUCAUAUUUUCUUCAUAAUACACGGUUCGAGUCAUCUUUAGGUUUUAUUAUUAUAUUGUAUUGAUACAAAUUCCAAGUCCAAAUCCUUUCAUUUCCUAUUUGCUUCCUGCUUUCCACUAUCUUUUCUCAUGGUUCACAUUUGUCAUUAAACAACUAAAAUGUAUGGUAUACCUAGGAUGUACCAGUGUUCUAAGAACUUUCCAUUAACUCAUUCACUCACUCUUCUCUCUCAGGAUGGCUCCAUUUAAAUUAGCUAGCAUCUCCUCCCACAAAAAAAUUUUCACAGCUACAUGUCCAGGUUCCCCUUCCUAUACAGUGUUUUUUUAAAUAAGCUCUCAAUUGCUAGGAUGCUAAAAUUUAGCAAAUUAUCUAAAAUGAGGGCCAAGAACCAUGACAAAGGGAACCAGAUGGAAGUAACUGUUUCAAGAAUCUUAAAAAAUAAUAUGAUCUUGGUUUAUGAAAGGGCCUGUUACUACAGAGUGAAUGUGAAAGUUUAUAAACUUCCCCUUAAUUAAAAUUAAAAGCUCUAAAAUAUUUUUCAUUUAAAAUAUAAAUUACAAGAGAAAACUUCACCAAAUGUGUAACACAUAAUUCUGCCAGAGUUUCACAGACAAAAUUAUGAGUACUCAUUCCACUGAUACCUCUGAGACCAAUCAUAAGUCCUUAAUAUCUAUCAACUUCCUGAAAUUGUUGUACUUUAAGUCAGAAAAAAG